GACGAACGCUGGCGGCGUGCUUAACACAUGCAAGUCGAACGGAAAGGCCCUGCUUUUGUGGGGUGCUCGAGUGGCGAACGGGUGAGUAACACGUGAGUAACCUGCCCCUGACUUUGGGAUAACUUCAGGAAACUGGGGCUAAUACCGGAUAGGAGCUCCUGCUGCAUGGUGGGGGUUGGAAAGUUUCGGCGGUUGGGGCUGGACUCGCGGCUUAUCAGCUUGUUGGUGGGGUAGUGGCUUACCAAGGCUUUGACGGGUAGCCGGCCUGAGAGGGUGACCGGCCACAUUGGGACUGAGAUACGGCCCAGACUCCUACGGGAGGCAGCAGUGGGGAAUAUUGCACAAUGGGCGGAAGCCAGAUGCAGCAACGCCGCGUGCGGGAUGACGGCCUUCGGGUUGUAAACCGCUUUCGCCUGUGACGAAGCGUGAGUGACGGUAAUGGGUAAAGAAGCACCGGCUAACUACGUG
RNAcentral lists this ribosomal RNA (468 nucleotides) under uncultured bacterium. RNAcentral's name for it is "partial 16S ribosomal RNA". It matches the Rfam family "Bacterial small subunit ribosomal RNA", at positions 28 to 507 of the family's 1533-position model. The record is from RNAcentral.